Alosa sapidissima (American shad) is the source of this 453-nucleotide long non-coding RNA. RefSeq lists it as uncharacterized. The transcript is spliced from 2 exons. The record is from RefSeq and is a predicted model, not a curated record. Lineage: Eukaryota; Metazoa; Chordata; Actinopteri; Clupeiformes; Clupeidae.
GCCAUGUCUUCUGACAAAGACGUUCUAAAGUCAUUACUCGUUGAUAAACUGAACCUGGUUGACAGACAGACAGACAGACAGCCAAGAGACACAAUCUUGAUAAAGCUACUGUGCAAGUUCUUAGAGGCAAUGCCAGAGCCACUGAUUUGCGCACACUGUCGCCCGAUAUAACAGAGUCCGAAAUAAGGAAAGAAUCGUCCUGGUGGGCCUGAGACUACAGAUGUGGGUUUGACUGCCCAGCCGGUAUGUGUCCCAUUCAAACAGAGCAGUGGACAGACAUACACCGGCCUCAGUCCAGCAAGACUCUCGGUAGUGACCAGUGGGCCGUCGCCUGUUCCCUGCAGCUCAGCGAUUCACAUCUUCACAUCAGAGCUCCGCCAACAAUCAGCCCCAACUGGCUUAUUCUCACAGCUACACGUGUUGCAGUUCCACCUCAAAGCUUUUCUAUUUAAA